Molecule: ribosomal RNA, 775 nt
Filed under: uncultured Neocallimastigales
Lineage: Eukaryota; Fungi; Neocallimastigomycota; Neocallimastigomycetes; Neocallimastigales
Description: partial large subunit ribosomal RNA
Rfam family: Eukaryotic large subunit ribosomal RNA
Source: RNAcentral
UAUGUGAUCGUCUCUCGCAUAUCAAUAAGCGGAGGAAAAGAAACUAACAAGGAUUCCCCUAGUAACGGCGAGUGAAGCGGGAAGAGCUCAAAUUUGAAAUCUUAAAGGGUUUCCCUUUACGAAUUGUAGUUUAAAGAAGUGUAUUCUGUUGAGGUUUUGGUAAAAGUUCUUUGGAAUAGGACAUCAUAGAGGGUGAGAAUCCCGUAUUUGACCUUUACUUUCAACUUUGUGAUACACUUUCAAAGAGUCGGAUUGUUUGGGAAUGCAGUCCGAAAUGGGUGGUAAAUUUCAUCUAAAGCUAAAUAUUGGCGAGAGACCGAUAGCGAACAAGUACCGUGAGGGAAAGAUGAAAAGAACUUUGAAAAGAGAGUUAAACAGUACGUGAAAUUGUCAAAAGGGAAGCGUUUGACACCAGUGUUGUUUUUCUGAAAAUCAAUUAAAGAACUGUUUAUGCUAAGUUGUUUAGACUUUAUCAGCUAUCCUGCUUAGUUCUGAGCUUUUCUUUAAUGCACUUUUCAGUUAACAAGUCAACAUCAAUUUCUUUUGCUGUAAAAAAGCUUGAGGAAGGUGGCUUGAGAUUCGUCUUAAGUGUUUAUAGCCUCUUGCCUAUGCAGUCGGAGAGAUUGAGGUCUGCAGCGUAGAUCCUUCGGGGCUAAAUGCAUUUGUGCUAAGUUAUAGCAUUUUAUAGACAACUUGUUGACUAUGAUUUGUCUUGUAGCUUACUCGCUUAUGUUAUUUUACCUACGCUUAGGAUGUUGAUAUCGCGCUCUCACUG